This is a non-coding RNA of Selenomonas sputigena ATCC 35185, 179 nucleotides long. It matches the Rfam family "6S / SsrS RNA". From Rfam's summary of the family: E. coli 6S RNA was the first non coding RNA to be sequenced, but its function was unknown until recently. It consists of 184 nucleotides that fold into an extended hairpin structure with a large single-stranded internal bulge. NCBI's taxonomy places the organism in Bacteria, Bacillati, Bacillota, Negativicutes, Selenomonadales, Selenomonadaceae. The record is from Rfam.
AGUUGCCUGAGGUGCACGUGAGCUUUUCAUUAUGUCUAACCUACAGUUUUCUAAGGGAAUCUGGCUAGGCUUGCGGAUGCUGGAUCGCCUUCGAGCGAAUAGCAGAAACAAGACUCAAGAUGCCCACCUGCGAGUCGCAGGUUUUAGACAUAUAAAGCAAACGACAUUUUGGACAUCUG